UAUUGGGGUGGCCAAAAAGUUUAUUCCGGUUUUUCCACAGCACCUUAUGGGAAAAACUCAAACGAACUUUUUGGUCAAUCCAAU
RNAcentral lists this microRNA precursor (84 nucleotides) under Ovis aries (sheep). RNAcentral's name for it is "miRNA (ENSOARG00000023933.1)". The record is from RNAcentral. Lineage: Eukaryota; Metazoa; Chordata; Mammalia; Artiodactyla; Bovidae.